UAUUCUUUGUACAAAGCCAUUUCGACCUCUGUGUACUGAGGGCAAUACAGAUUAUUGACUACCAUUGUGGAAUGACAAUUUCAUUUUACAUCAUUUCAACAUAUUUGUAGCUUAUUAAACCACAGUGCAUUUACAGCUUGCAAAACUAUUACACAUUCUAUGACCACGGUCGUGCCAACCACAGUCGUUCUAUAUGUAAACUAUAGUCAUGAUUGUACAUCGCCAAGGUGACUCCUACAAUCAUAUU
This 247-nucleotide long non-coding RNA is filed under the name Carica papaya (papaya). RNAcentral describes it as "long non-coding RNA (CPAP_LNC011559)". Lineage: Eukaryota; Viridiplantae; Streptophyta; Magnoliopsida; Brassicales; Caricaceae. The record is from RNAcentral.